AUUUAAAUAGUUUAAUAAAAAUUUUGAUUUGUGAUAUCAAAGAUAUGAUUAUUUCAUUUUAGAUA
This 65-nucleotide transfer RNA is filed under the name Staphylinidae sp. BMNH 1274255. RNAcentral describes it as "tRNA-His". Lineage: Eukaryota; Metazoa; Arthropoda; Insecta; Coleoptera; Staphylinidae. The record is from RNAcentral.